UUUUAUGAGAGUUUGAUCCUGGCUCAGGAUGAACAUUGGCGAUGUGGAUAAGGCAUGCAAGUCGAACGAAGCAGCAAUGCUUAGUGGCAGACGAGUUAGUAACACAUAGGUACUUGCCUCAAAGACGGGUAUAGCCCGGAGAAAUCCGGGGUAAUCCCCGAUAGUCCCGUAAGGGUAAAGGAGUAAUCCGCUUUGAGAGAGGCCUGCGGCCUAUCAGCUUGUUGGUGAGGUAAUAGCUCACCAAGGCUAUGACGGGUAGGGGAAGUGAGAGCUUGUUCCCCAACGAUGGGACUGAGACACGGCCCAUACUCCUACGGGAGGCUGCAGUCGAGAAUCUUCCGCAAUGGGCGAAAGCCUGACGGAGCGACAUCGCGUGUAGGAAGAAGAUCUUAGGAUUGUAAACUACUUUUCUUGGGGAAGAAGUUAUUGACGGUACCCAAGGAAUAAGGGGGGACUAAUCACGUGCCAGCAGUAGCGGUAAUACGUGACCCUCAAACGUUAUCCGGAUUUACUGGGCGUAAAGAGUCUUAAGGCGGUUUUUCAAGUUCUCGGUCAAAUUUUUGAAGCUCAACUUCAAGGCAGCCGGGGAUACUGUUAAACUAGAGAGUGCCAGAGGUUAGCGGAACGCACGGUGUAGGGGUGAAAUCCGUUGAUAUCGUGCGGAACACCAAAAGCGAAGGCAGCUAACUGGGGCGACUCUGACGCUGAUUGACGAAGGCUAGGGGAGUGAAGAGGAUUAGAUACCCUCGUAAUCCUAGCUGUAAACGAUGGACACUAGCUGGUGGAAGUAUCGACCCUUUCACUGGCGAAGCUAACGCGUUAAGUGUCCCGCCUGGGAAGUACGAUGGCAACAUUAAAACUCAAAGGAAUAGACGGGGGUUUACACAAGCGGUGGAUCACGUGGCUUAAUUCGACGAUAAGCGGAGAACCUAACCAGGGCUUGACAUACUAGUGAAACUCUAAGGAAACUUAGAGCCCCGCAAGGCACUAGUACAGGUGCUGCAUGGUUGUCGUCAGCAGGUGCCGUGACGAAACACUUCGCGGCCUUGACGAGCAAUCGUCAAAGAAAAAAUCGGCUCAUAACGGUGGAGGUUUAUUAUUUUCUGUGUUAAAAUUAAAUAAUAAAUAAUACCGUGGGAAGUCAAGAAAUUAUACCAAAGUCAUUAAGAGCGAGAAAAAACUUAAAAUUAAAACUCACUCAAAGUGAGUACGAUGUUUUAGUUGGCUCAAUUCUUGGUGAUGGGUAUAUUACUAAAAAGGGAAAGAUCCAAAUCGAACAAGGAGAAAAACAAAAACAAUAUGUUGAAUGGAAAUACGAAAAAUUAAUAAAUGCUAAAAGUGGCAAUAUUAUUAAAACAACAAGAAAAUACAAAGGAAAAGAAUUUUCUUCUUAUAGAUUUUGGACGAGACAAUUUUUUUCUUCUUGGAGAAAUAUUUUUUAUCCUUACGGUGAAAAAACUAUUCCAAGAGCAAAAAUUAAUUUCUCUCCUUUAUUAUUGGCUGUUUGGUAUAUGGACGAUGGUUACCUAAGAAAAAAGAAUACUAUUGCUUUGUCUACGGACAAAUUUAGCAAGUCAGAGCUAGCUUAUUUAGCUACAGAGUUAAAUAGACAGCACGAACUAAGUGUUAAUAUUGUAAAAAGUAAAAAACUAUACUUUGACACUAAUUCUAGUAUUAAGUUUCUAAAUAUAGUAAAACCAUAUAUUAUUCCUUCAAUGAUGUACAAAAUUUCUUUGACCCCGUAACGACUGCUUUCAUUCAGAAAGCGAUGGAGGAAUUAAAACCUUCAUAAUACGCCGAUCUCCUUUAUUUUUUAAAGGAGGUGGUAUAGUCUACAAAACCUUACAAAGAGGAGGUGCUCCCUUAAAUGGGGAAACCUGCGCAACCCUUGCCCUAUGUUUCAAUGUGUCAUAGGGGACUGCCGCGGAUAACGCGGAGGAAGACGAGGACAACGCCAAAUCAGCAUGGCCCUUACGUCCUGGGCAGCACACGUGAUACAAUGGCUGGUACAAUGGGUCGCCAACCGGUAACGGGGAGCUAAUCCCACCAAACCCAGCCCUAGUUCGGAUUGAGGUCUGCAACUCGACCUCAUGAAGCUGGAAUCGCUAGUAAUCGCGGAUCAGAUACGCCGCGGUGAAUAUGUCACUGAACCUUGUACUCGGGUGACCGGCAGCUAAUUUAAUUA
Parcubacteria group bacterium CG1_02_37_13 is the source of this 2185-nucleotide non-coding RNA. The record is from Rfam.